GUGAACGCUGGCGGUAGGCCUAACACAUGCAAGUCGAACGGCAGCACAGUAAGAGCUUGCUCUUACGGGUGGCGAGUGGCGGACGGGUGAGGAAUACAUCGGAAUCUACUUUUUCGCGGGGGAUAACGUAGGGAAACUUACGCUAAUACCGCAUACGACCUACGGGUGAAAGCAGGGGAUCUUCGGACCUUGCGCGAUUGAAUGAGCCGAUGUCGGAUUAGCUAGUUGGCGGGGUAAAGGCCCACCAAGGCGACGAUCCGUAGCUGGUCUGAGAGGAUGAUCAGCCACACUGGAACUGAGACACGGUCCAGACUCCUACGGGAGGCAGCAGUGGGGAAUAUUGGACAAUGGGCGCAAGCCUGAUCCAGCCAUACCGCGUGGGUGAAGAAGGCCUUCGGGUUGUAAAGCCCUUUUGUUGGGAAAGAAAAGCAGCAGGUUAAUACCCCGCUGUUCUGACGGUACCAAAAGAAUAAGCACCGGCUAACUUCGUG
RNAcentral lists this ribosomal RNA (491 nucleotides) under uncultured bacterium. RNAcentral's name for it is "partial 16S ribosomal RNA". It matches the Rfam family "Bacterial small subunit ribosomal RNA", at positions 29 to 507 of the family's 1533-position model. The record is from RNAcentral.